This 125-nucleotide small nucleolar RNA is filed under the name Chinchilla lanigera (long-tailed chinchilla). Its description in RNAcentral is "Small nucleolar RNA SNORA40 (ENSCLAG00000018627.1)". It matches the Rfam family "Small nucleolar RNA SNORA40". From Rfam's summary of the family: The snoRNA ACA 40 belongs to the H/ACA family of snoRNAs and guides the pseudouridylation of 28S rRNA subunit at position U4565. NB This family has a high threshold value to exclude a large number of closely related sequences that do not appear to have conserved H and ACA boxes, and may be pseudogenes. Lineage: Eukaryota; Metazoa; Chordata; Mammalia; Rodentia; Chinchillidae. The record is from Rfam by way of RNAcentral.
GGCACUUGUAUUUUUGUCUUAGUUUGUGUACUUAAACUUAAUGGACCGGUGCAAAAAAUAAAUCCGCUUUUGCAACUCAUAACUCAUGGUUCUGUAUGAGUUUUGAUACAUAUAAAAGGAAUGUU